This is a long non-coding RNA of Neofelis nebulosa (Clouded leopard), 3784 nucleotides long. RefSeq lists it as uncharacterized. The record is from RefSeq and is a predicted model, not a curated record. Lineage: Eukaryota; Metazoa; Chordata; Mammalia; Carnivora; Felidae. The transcript is spliced from 2 exons.
CUGUUUAAAACCUGACCAUUCAUUAUUCUGUGUGUUUUGGGUACGGGGCUACUGACGGGAAGUAGCAAUCGAACGAAGAAGAAAGCACAUCUUCUCAGAUUUUCUUCAUUAUUUCCAACAAGACUCAACAGGAUCAACAACGAAGGCUCUCUCUGAUUCUUGACUCAAUUUCAUGUCUCUAAGAGCUGUGAUCUGCGUAGGAAUGAAGUGUGGUUGUCAUCUGCAGCUGGAAUCGUGAGCGCUUCUGGGUGCUGUGCUCCAGAGAUAAACUAAAGCUGAGGAAAAAUACUAUGACUUAAUAAUAUGAUCCUUAUGGAACAAAAUAUUGUGUACAUCCCCAGAUGAUUAAAACUAACAUUUAUACUGUGCUUUCCAAGCCACUACAGUGGUUAUAAAUAGUUUCUCUACAAACUAUUUAUAGAGAAAUCACAUCAACCACCCACCACUUGUUAAAAUGGAGCAAGUAUUUUCACACAAAGGCAACUUUACAAAACAGCAGGGGAAUUGGUAAUGGAAGGAACAGAUAGGCUGGAAAUGACUCGCGGGAGACUUAACUGAUUUCUUCCUUUUCUAUUUUUAACCUUUAAUGUGUAAUAUAUAUUCAGAGCAAUGCACAUAAGUGUCAGCCAGCUGAAGUUUCACUAACUUAACAUACUUGCGUAGCUGGCAGCAGAUCAGGAAGUGGAGUAUUACAAACCCCCCGAGUCUUCAGGUCACUGUCCUUCCAAGGUUACCUGGCGUCUUGUCUGCUAACUGCACAGAUUAGUUUAGUUUGUUCUUAGCUUUUAUAGAAAUCGAAUGCUACCGCAUGUUUUUUGUGGCUGGUUUCUUAGAUUUAAUUUUAUGUUUGUGAGACUCAUCCAUGCUGUUUGUUCAUUCUGCUACACAGUGUCAAGAUGUGCAAGCAUAACAUAAUUUAUUGAUCCAUUCCAGUGUUGAUGGGCCUUUUGGUAGUCUUUGCUUUUUGACCACUACAAAUUGUGCUUCUCAUGAACAUCCUUGAUCAUAUCUUUUGGGCAUAUGUUUAGGAGUGAAAUUGCUGUCAUAGAAUAAGCACAUUUCCAUGUUAAUAGGUUCUGCCAGAUAGUUUUCCAAAUGGUUGUGCUAAUUUACACUCUCAACAGUAGUGGAGGAGAAUCCUGGUUGCUGUAUAUACUUUCCAACAUUUGUUAUUUUCUAGUGGGUGAGUAAUGCUAUCACUUUAUGCUUUCAAUUUGCAUUUCCUUGAUGACAAAGUUGAGCACCUUUUUAUAUGUGUGUCGGUUAUUUGUUUUCUUUUUGAAAGUGAUCUCUACUCCCAUCACGGGGCUUGAACCCACAACCCCAAGACCAAGGGUCACAUGCUCCACCAACUGAGGCAGCCAGGCGCCCCAUAUGUGUAUUGGUUAUUUAGAGAGCUUCUUUUGUGAAAUGUGCCUAUUCAGGGUUUUUGCCCAAUUUUCUGUUGGUUGUUUAUCUUUUUCUAGACGUUCUAUAUAUAUACUGGAUAAUCUCUUCAUUUUCUUAUGUACAAUGUGAUUUUUAAGUGUUUAGGUUUAUGGUAGGUAUGUUCUUCAUGUUUUCAUGUACUCUGUUUAUGCAGAAUAUGCAUCAAUAUGCAUCUUAGAUCCCUGUAUAUUCAGGCCUGAAAAACUUCUAACAGCACUUAGGUGAAAAAAGUAACCUUAUUCCAAAGUUGAAAGUAUUGCAUGCAAUCAGCUACCAUAAAAUGCAUCAUUAUUAUUUAAUGACAUUUUACAUUCAUGAUCUAUUUUUUUAUUUUUAGCUUUUUCAUAUUGCUUGAUUCAUUGCUUAAAAUGAAUAUGAAGAUAAGAAAGACAACCCUCCCUCCUCAAAUGAUCCUUUUGGCGACAGUGCCCAGUAUCUUUUUGGAGAGCCGCCUUGAUCACAGUUGGUCUGCAUGUGUUGAGCCCACUAUCAGCUUCAGCAGAGGGCAGGUACCACUGACUCAGACCUGAUCAGAUGAGCACCACAUUCCUCAGGGCAUAGCCAUUGGCUCAAGAAUGACUGUGUGAUCCAUCCGUAUCAAUGACAUAUAAUGAGAUCAGUUCUGAGACUACAUAGGGAAAGGAAGCCUCUUCCAUGCUGGACUUGACUUCAGGAGGAUGUGAAGUAGAGCUGCUGUGACCUUCUUACAACCUUGAGAAGACACUGUUGAAAACAGAGCCAGACCAGAAGAAGCAAAGUUAAGAGAUAGAGAGAAAUGGAAUUGAAAUAACAUUUUGAGCUCCUGGAUCAAGCCAUGACUGAAGCUAGUAGUAUCUGGACUUUUCAGUAACAUGAGCCAGUAAAUUCCUUGUCUGCUUAAGAUGGGUUGGAUUAUUUUUUUCUGAUGCUUGAGACCUAUAGAGCCUUCACUAGUGCAAAUAUCUGGCCUAGAUGGGGUUUCCAACCUUACAUGAACUAUAGAAAAGUAAGGUAAGUAUAGGGUUUUAAGCAAAGCCUCUUCUCUGAAAGGAAAGUACUGUUUCUUUCUUUUAAAAAAAUUUUUUUAAUGUUUAUUUAUUUUGGAGAGACAGAGAGAGAGAGAGAGAGACAGAGUGUGAGUGGGGGAGGGGCAGAGAGACAAGGUGACAGAAUCUGAAGCAGGCUCCAGGCUCUGAGCUGUGAAUACAGAGCCCAACACGGGGCUCGGACUCACAGACUGCGAGAUUAUGACCUGAGCCAAGGUCAAAUGCUUAGCCGACAGAGCCACUCAGGUGCCCCAGGAAAGUACUGUUUCAAAUAGUAGUUUUAAAAUUUAGGUACCAGGAUUUUAAGUUUCUCAUAGGGCUUGUGUAUAGAAUUAGAAGUUUAGGGAUGCCUGGGUGGCUCAGUUGGUUCAGCGUCCGACUUCAGCUCAGGUCAUGAUUUCACAGUUCGUGAGUUCCAGCCCCGUGUCAGGCUCUGUGCUGACAGCUCAGAGCCUAGAGCCUGCUUUGGAUUCUGUGUCUCCCUCUCUUUCUCUGCCCCUCCCUCUCUCAUGCUCUGUCUCUCUCUCUCUCUCUCUCUCUCUCUCUCAAGAAUAAACAUCAAAAAAAUAAAUAAAUAAAAAGAAGUUUAUUGUAACGUAAUGUUUGUUUAGGUUUCAUUUGGUAGAGGGAGAUGAGAGAGGAGAAAUGUGUGUCUUAUCUAUGGUCGUAAACGAUCACUGUAUUCAUGAAAGUGGUUCCCAGACAACUGUCCUUGAACCUGUUCUAUCAGAAUUCCUUCAGGAGUUUGUUACAAAUACACAUUUUGGUGUUCCGCCCCUGGGGGUCUGGAUCACUAAAUGUGGGAUGGUGCCUAGAAUCUGCAUUAGGAUUUUUUUUAAUGUUUAUUUUUAAGGGGGGGGUGCAGAGAGAGAGAGGGAGACACAGAAUCCGAAGCAGGCUCCAGGCUCUGAGCUGUCAGCACAGAGCCUGGCAUGGCACUCCAACUCACAAACUAUGAGAUUAUGACCUGAGCCAAAGUCGGACACUUACCCAACUGAGCCACCAGGCACCCCUAGAAUCUGCAUCUUUAAACAAAUUCCAAGAUUGGGGGACCAGUGCUUUAUUACAGGAUUUCCCUCACUAAUCCCUGGCUGCUGAUGUCCAAUCUUCUUCCAAGAAUUCUGAACCAAGCAAGGGAAGAAACUGAGCAGGAGAGGAAACCUAAGAUAUGGGAGAGAGAGACACAGACAGGCUGUUAGAGAAACAUGCCUGCUGAAAGAUUGAAGGUUGCUGGGGUGGAGUGGGAGGAGGGAAGAGAGAAUUUAUAUUAACAUUGUUCUUUAAAAUCAGAGUUUUGUAUAAAUAAAAAUAAGUUGGUUUGGAAAUGUGAA